UACGUAGGGGGCAAGCGUUGUCCGGAAUCAUUGGGCGUAAAGAGCGUGUAGGCGGCUUGUUAAGUCUUGCGUGAAAUCUCGGGGCUCAACCCCGAGCGGUCGUGAGAAACUGGCAGGCUAGAGUGCGGGAGAGGAGAGUGGAAUUCCUGGUGUAGCGGUGAAAUGCGCAGAUGUCAGGAAGAACACCCGUGGCGAAGGCGGCUCUCUGGAACGCAACUGACGCUGAGACGCGAAAGCGUGGGGAGCAAACAGG
RNAcentral lists this ribosomal RNA (253 nucleotides) under uncultured bacterium. Its description in RNAcentral is "partial 16S ribosomal RNA". It matches the Rfam family "Bacterial small subunit ribosomal RNA", at positions 524 to 776 of the family's 1533-position model. The record is from RNAcentral.